AGGUAAAAGCAGAUCAAAAUAGCAAGAAUCUGGGAAAGCUGCAGCAGUGCUCCCGCAAUGUGAACAUGAUGGCAGCAAAUGUGGUGGCCUCCACAAGAUCAGGUCAAGAACAGAUAGAAGAAAAAGAUACCAUGGACUUUUCUGGAAUGUCUCUCAUUAAACUAAAGAAGGAAGAAAUGGAAAGCCAGGCAGUGGAAGAGAGAGGUGGUGUCUGGUAACUAUAAAAGAAAGUAUACAAAGCGAUUGUCUGAGCUAGUGAUUGUGUGUCUA
Long non-coding RNA from Hyla sarda, 270 nucleotides. RefSeq lists it as uncharacterized. The transcript is spliced from 3 exons. NCBI's taxonomy places the organism in Eukaryota, Metazoa, Chordata, Amphibia, Anura, Hylidae. The record is from RefSeq and is a predicted model, not a curated record.